GACGAACGCUGGCGGCGUGCUUAACACAUGCAAGUCGAACGGCAAGGCCCUUCGGGGUACUCGAGUGGCGAACGGGUGAGAAACACGUGGGUGAUCUGCCCUGCACUUUGGGAUAAGCCUGGGAAACUGGGUCUAAUACCGAAUAGGACCACGCGCUUCAUGGUGUGUGGUGGAAAGCUUUUGCGGUGUGGGAUGGGCCCGCGGCCUAUCAGCUUGUUGGUGGGGUAAUGGCCUACCAAGGCGACGACGGGUAGCCGGCCUGAGAGGGUGACCGGCCACACUGGGACUGAGAUACGGCCCAGACUCCUACGGGAGGCAGCAGUGGGGAAUAUUGCACAAUGGGCGCAAGCCUGAUGCAGCGACGCCGCGUGAGGGAUGACGGCCUUCGGGUUGUAAACCUCUUUCAAUAGGGACGAAGCGCAAGUGACGGUACCUAUAGAAGAAGCACCGGCCAACUACGUG
This 462-nucleotide ribosomal RNA is filed under the name uncultured bacterium. RNAcentral's name for it is "partial 16S ribosomal RNA". It matches the Rfam family "Bacterial small subunit ribosomal RNA", at positions 28 to 507 of the family's 1533-position model. The record is from RNAcentral.